GAGGAUAUAGCUCAGUGGUAGAGUGCAUGCUUAGCAUGCACAAGGUCCUGGGUUCAAUCCCCAGUUUCUCUA
RNAcentral lists this transfer RNA (72 nucleotides) under Camelus bactrianus (Bactrian camel). It matches the Rfam family "tRNA". Rfam says of the family: Transfer RNA (tRNA) molecules are approximately 80 nucleotides in length. Their secondary structure includes four short double-helical elements and three loops (D, anti-codon, and T loops). Further hydrogen bonds mediate the characteristic L-shaped molecular structure. tRNAs have two regions of fundamental functional importance: the anti-codon, which is responsible for specific mRNA codon recognition, and the 3' end, to which the tRNAs corresponding amino acid is attached (by aminoacyl-tRNA synthetases). tRNAs cope with the degeneracy of the genetic code in two manners: having more than one tRNA (with a specific anti-codon) for a particular amino acid; and 'wobble' base-pairing, i.e. permitting non-standard base-pairing at the 3rd anti-codon position. The record is from Rfam by way of RNAcentral. Lineage: Eukaryota; Metazoa; Chordata; Mammalia; Artiodactyla; Camelidae. RNAcentral also lists the same sequence under 3 other names.